GAAAUGCGAUAAGUAGUGUGAAUUGCAGAAUUCAGUGAAUCAUCGAAUCUUUGAACGCACAUUGCGCCCCUUGGUAUUCCAUGGGGCAUGCCUGUUCGAGCGUCAUUUGUACCCUCAAGCUCUGCUUGGUGUUCGGUGUUUGUCCCCGUCUCCGCGCGUGGACUCGCCCCAAAGUGAUUGGCAGCCGGCGUACUGGUCCCGGAGCGCAGCACAUGUCGCGCAAACGAGUGCCUUGGUACGGCGGCGUCCAUAAGCCCCUCUCUCACGCUCUUGACCUCGGAUCAGGUAGGGAUACCCGCUGAACUUAAGC
Molecule: unclassified non-coding RNA, 310 nt
Filed under: plant metagenome
Description: partial contains 5.8S ribosomal RNA, internal transcribed spacer 2, and large subunit ribosomal RNA
Rfam family: 5.8S ribosomal RNA (bases 1-105)
Source: RNAcentral